ACCUGGUUGACAAACCUUUACGGCUCUAUUAUAUUUUACGCUAUAAAUGUCAUGUCUUAGCUCACUAACAAAUUGAGAAGGAACCUAUAAAUAUAACAGGAAAACAAAAAGGAAAAACAAAAGAAAAUAUUCAAUAAAUAACACAAAAACCAACCAACUUUAUCAUAGAAACUUCAAAAAGAACAUAGAAAUACCAAAAAAAGAUCUUUUCAAAUGAAUAUACCUUCCCCAGUAACCACACAGUUGACAUUCUAUAGUACCGCACCACGCCAGCAAACUGCUUCUAUGAUGGUGUUCGAAGCUCCCGGCCCAAACAUUAGCCACCCAAGUGCCUGCCCAAGUUUUCGGUUAUGACAUUGUAUCGUACAGUUUUAAUAUGAUUAAAUUAACUGCCAUUUACAACAUAAAUUACCUAACAAGCGCUGGCCCCGCCUGAGACAUAAGACCACCGCAUCAGUUGGAAUAGCCUGGGUUGCCUCCACCGUCAAAUUCGGCCCCUUAGGCUUAUUUUGGUUUCACGGAGGGAUAAGAUGGAAUAGAUUGUAUGACUUGGAGUGUACUGUAGAACACUAUUUAAUAUGCGUAAAAACACAUUUUGUCUGUAAGAUUAACAGGGACAAAAUGAUUAGAAAUUCAGUUUUACAUUUGGAUUGCAUGCUUUAUUUGGAUAAAACAUAAAAUAACCAAUAUACCCAAAUGAUGUUUAUGCAGUAGACACAACCAAGACGACCUAAAAUAAACACUGAUAAACAGUAAAAACAUAUCAAAAUGAAUAUGUUCAUGUAACAUAACACUAAUGUAGACGAAGAUCAUUAUUGCACAAAAAAUUCAAAUAUCCAGAUUACUAACAACUUCCUUUUUCACAUGUCCGGUAUACUACAUGGUGAUCUUAACACAAACAACAGUAGCUACAUUACAUUUCUAAUCAAUUUGCUGUCAUAUUUCCAAAAUUUCGAUAAACCUUCGUAUGGCACAACAUAUUUGCCACAUGCUACACUUCGUUUUGGUGGCACUUCAGGCCCACCAGCAACAUCUCUCUUUGCACAGCAGAAUUGGACAAUAGAAUCACCAUCAUCUACCUUAAAAACACCUUAAUUACAAAUAACCGAGAGGCAAGCUGAAAAUUUUCAAACAAUUACUAUAAUAAGUAUUUUCAAGACGUGUUUUGAUUGACCUCUAAUUUAGAGAAGCAAAAAAACCCUCAGAAUUUCUAGCAGAUAAUCACAUCGUGCUACUUGCAAAUGCAUGCAACAACUCAAAAUCCAAAUAUCUCUUUGUUCCUGCAUUUUCUUCUUUCUAUUCCAUUAAAGUAAUGGCUCAGAACAAUUUAAUUGAAUGGGAAUCACAACCCAAAACUCAUUUUACAAAAUAUAUCAGCAAAAAUAUUGAUGUCAUCUAACAAAAGUAUAUCUUCUAAGAAUUUAACUAAUUUGUAUUGAAAUUCAGCAAAUACAUUAACUCAAAUUUAAUAACAAAGCAAUAACUCAACUCAAUAUUUGAACCCAAUACCUUAGAUUACAAAAAUAUAUUUUCUAAAAUUACGUAUGGCCACCCUUGCCCCAUUACACCUCCACCACUGGUGUGUGUAAAAAAAAAUUAUACUAUAGCAGGGAAUUGACUUAUUUAAUCAAGAUGUCAAUAGGAUUAAAUUCAAAUUGUAUAUAAAGGCACGAAUACUUUCAGCAUUACAAUUUUUACCUCAUCAAUGUUGUCUUCAAACAUCUCCACAGUUGCCAAGUCAUUUACCACCCUUCGUGCCCAAAUAUAGUGGGUUGAGUGGUGACUCACCAAACUUGAAGAUAAUUCGUAAAAUUGAAAAUAAAUCAACCAGAAGAUGAUUAAUCCAAAGGAACUAAAUAAAAUAAAUACGAAAAAAAUUAAUGAAGACAGGUAAGAUAUCAAGAUGCUAUGAGUAUGGAACUGAAGGGGAAUUAGGACUUCUGUCGAUAGAAGAGAGCAGAGUGAUUUUUGUAGGGUUUUUUUGCAAACACCACCCCUGUAUAAUCUCAAAUUGCUGAAAAAACCAUUGUGGUAAAAGAAUUAGCAAAAACCCCUAUGAAAAUUAGUCAAAUGCAAUAAGGCCACUGCGAGCCGAACGUGUGUAGCAUUCGUGAAAUGUUCGAAUCGGGGUGUGGUUUUGACGCAAAAAUACUCAAAAAUCCUUUAAAUAAGAAAUUUAAAAAAAUAUAAAUUCACCCCAUAAUUUUAAUAAAGCCCAAAAUAAAUUUCUCAAAAUUUUCAAUUCAAUCCCCAAUAUUUUCUAUAAAGCCAUCUUCCCAACCUAAACCCACACCCCAAAACCAAAUUUCUCUUCUCCACCACACACCUACAACCACCAAAAGUUUCUCUCACCAUCUAAUAACCCAAUACAAAUCAACAAACAAAAGGGAAACUGAAAUUCAAUCAAAGCCAAAAAUGAAAUCCAUUUGUAAUUCCAUUAUAGACCGUAUAUUUUUCUGAGAGUGAGAGAGAGAGAGAGAGACACGAUAUCAGCUCUUUGAAAAAGCCAAUUAUGCUCGCAGUUUAAUUACAAA
Molecule: long non-coding RNA, 2534 nt
Filed under: Erythranthe guttata (spotted monkey flower)
Lineage: Eukaryota; Viridiplantae; Streptophyta; Magnoliopsida; Lamiales; Phrymaceae
Description: long non-coding RNA (EGUT_LNC000620)
Source: RNAcentral